GACGAACGCUGGCGGCGUGGAUUAGGCAUGCAAGUCGAACGGUAUCAUCCUUUCGGGGGUGAGAGAGUGGCGAACUGGUGAGUAACACGUAGGUUAUCUACCCUCAAGACGGGGACAACCCAGGGAAACUUGGGCUAAUACCGGAUGUGAGCAACUUUUAGUUGUUUGAAAGGUGGCGUAAGCUGUCGCUUGGGGAUGAGCCUGCGUCCUAUUAGUUAGUUGGUGAGGUAACGGCUCACCUAGGCAAUGAUAGGUAGGCGGCCUUAACGGGUGGUCGCCCACACUGGGAUUGAGAUACGGCCCAGACUCCUACGGGAGGCAGCAGUCGAGAAUAGUCUACAAUGGUCGGAAGACUGAUAGUGCGACGCCGCGUGAACGAUGAAUCCCUUCGGGGUUAAAGUUCUUUUAAUGUGAGCAGUGCUUUCUAUAUUAACAGUAUGGGGAAGAGAUAUUAGCAUAUGAAUAAGCAACGGCUAACUCCGUGCCAGCAGCCGCGGU
Molecule: ribosomal RNA, 498 nt
Filed under: uncultured bacterium
Lineage: Bacteria
Description: bacterial SSU rRNA
Rfam family: Bacterial small subunit ribosomal RNA
Source: RNAcentral